This 1908-nucleotide long non-coding RNA is filed under the name Homo sapiens (human). RNAcentral's name for it is "non-protein coding lnc-MAN2A1-7:1". Lineage: Eukaryota; Metazoa; Chordata; Mammalia; Primates; Hominidae. The record is from RNAcentral.
UGGUGACUAUUUCACAAUUAAUCAUAACAAAUAUAGGAGCUAGACCUUACCUUGGUGGUUGCCUGUUUUAAGUUUCUGAUUUCUUUUCUGUAUUUUGGAGCCUGGUUUACCCUGUGUCUGGAACUGGCAUUCUAAGAUCUAAAUGUCUUAGCUUGGAGAUACUUGCUAUUAUAUACACUAAUAUCAUGGAUUUUGAAAGAGGAUGAAGAUGGUGAAGAGAUAGACAUGGCCUUCAAUCUACAUUAUAAAAAUAAUGUAGAAAUGUUCUAUGCUAGACAAGAGGCAAGCUGUUGCAGGAAUGGGACAGAAAGCAGGAAGGGAUGUGAUUCUUCCAUUUUCGGUCUUUCUACAGAUGUUACUAGAAUACACACCCCAUGUGAGGAUUUAGCUUAUGGGUACAGAUAUUAUAAAGCAUAGAGAGGUUUCGGACUGUUUUCCUGAGAGGGAGUGUGGUGUGGGGAAAAGAGCAAACCUACCUAGAGUUGAAUCUGUGCUCCUAGUAAUAGCUGUAUGAAUUUAGACAAAUAAUUUAAUUCUUAUAACUUUGGGAUUUUUCAAGUUCAAACUAAGGGUGAUAAUACUAGAAUUUUCACGAUUCUUCAGUUGCAUGAGACCAAAACUCUGCUCAUACUUAGGGCACUGAAACUAGAAGUAUAUUCUCUUUAGGUACAGAUAGACCCUCAUGUAGGCCUUCUCCAUAUGGAGCUCUGUGACAUUUCUUUCAGUUGGGUUCAGGAAGCCAAACAUAAAGACUUCUGUUUUCCUUAGUUCUAGCAAAAGUUCCAGGAUUGUGUCUCGUUGAAGGAUUCCAAUCAUUUCCCCAUCCCUGAUCCCAUCGUCACAGGGAUGAUAUAUGAUGAUAGGCCAUAUCUGGAUUAGGUGCUAAUUACUGGAACUAGGAAUAGGAAGUGUGGUCAGCUAUGUCUAAGCCCUUUGGCCUGAGAUUCACAAUGGUUAGAAUCACUCGAGGAAGGAGAAGAUACUGUGACCCUGGAAGGAGGGAGUAGAUGCUGGGUGAGCAAAACGCAUUUACUAUAGUCCUCUAGCGUGCAUACAUUUCCUCCUUUGUAUAUAUGCCCUUGAAAAAAAUGCCCUCACCUAUCAUUGUGUAAAUUUCUUGCUUAUAACUUUCGAUGCAUUUACCACCUGUCCCUCAAGAAAAGAAGACAACUAAGAGAUUUGUUUAAGUACUGCAUCUAGCUUUAAGACUAGGAUCUCUGGAUAAUUUCUUUAGCUCUGUUUGAACAGACUGUCUUAGGGUCUAGCAACUUGCAGUUGACCAGUAUAAUUAAUUGUAGUAAGGCCAGUUUUCAGUGAUAGAAGGAAAAUAGCAUGUGGACAACAAAAACCCUUAAUUGAUAUCCUACUUCAUCACUCUUAAGUUCUGCCUGCUGUAAAGUCCUGGACAUGGACAUAAUUCAGGCAAGUGCUUAAUCACUUUAUAACAAGGAUGGCCUUUCCCCCAGUUUCCAAUACUUUGUUCUCAUUUCUGUCUGAGACCUCAUCAGAAUAGCCUUUACUGUUCAUAUGUCUACCAAUAUUCUGUUCAUGGCAACACAGGCUUUUUCUAGCAUUCAUCUUCAGAACUGUUAUAGCUUCUACCCAUUACCCAAUUCCAGAGCUGCUUCCACAUUUUUAGGUAUUUGUUAUAGCAACAUGCCACUUCUCUGGUACCAGUUUCUGUCUUAGUCCAUUUUGUGCUUCUAUAACAGAAUACCACAGACUGAGUAAUUUAAAAAUAAUAGAAAUUUAUUCUCUCACAGUUCUAGAGGCUGGAAAUUUCAAAGUCAAGGUGUAGACAUCUCAUGAGGGCCUUCUUGCUGUGUCCUCACAUGGCAGAAAGCCGAAGGGCAAGAGAGGGAUGAACUGUGUGUCCUCACAUGGCAGAAGAGAAGAGAACACAUUCCU